AGAUCAGGUAAUUCUUUUCAUCAGCGAUGGCAAAUCGACAUCUGGCAGUGAUCCUGUACAAGUUAUCAGCACUGAAAAUUCAAAACUUCAAAAUAGAAUUGCAAUAUUCACUUACCUGAUUGGAGAGGAGGAACAAGCGAAAAUUCAGCUACAAAACAUGUCAAGUCAGACCUUACAUGAUCCGUCCUAUGGAUCUAAGCAAAUUGGACAUUUCGAACACUUUGCCCUAUCCAAACAGAAGUUACUUUCUGUCAAAUUGGCCACAUUUUAUGAACAUCUGUCUACCGAUGGUCAAUCCGACCAGUCAACCUUUACAUCACCAUACGUUGACCCAUUUUCUGGAAUCGG
Mytilus californianus (California mussel) is the source of this 348-nucleotide long non-coding RNA. RefSeq lists it as uncharacterized. NCBI's taxonomy places the organism in Eukaryota, Metazoa, Mollusca, Bivalvia, Mytilida, Mytilidae. The transcript is spliced from 3 exons. The record is from RefSeq and is a predicted model, not a curated record.